UCCUGCUUCAACCUCCUGAGUAGCUGGGAUUAUAAGCAUGCACUACCACGCCCGGCUAGUUUUUGUAUUUUCAGUAGAGAUGGGGUUUCACCAUGGGUGAUAUUUCCAAGGAAGCAAAACCAUGAAGUGUAGAACCACUAUGCUGUUUUCACUACACUGCUGUUAGAAAACUAGACAUUUGGAUGGAAGAACAUGCUGUGCUCUGAAGGAACACUACUCCCCAAAUAGGUUCUGCCCAUGGGAUGUGGAGAUGAUGAAUUUUCUUACCUCAGUGUUGCUGACACUUAGAUCCAUGUGCUUCUGGAAAGACUCAUUUCUAAGAAAUCAUGGCUGAUUGAAUGAUUGUAUCCCCCAGGUGUUUAAUAAUGGAUCCAUGUCAAUCCUAAAAGAAGUUUCUUGUGGACCGCAAUAAUGUUCUGCCUGUAAACGUCUCCAUAUUCAUGAAGAUGUGAAAGCCAGACUUCAGACAGACAAUUAGAGGGUAUUAGUAAUGUAUAUUGGAUGAGAAAUUGUGACACAAAAUUUUAAUAGGCUGCAAAAGUGUGCUAAAAUUCACUAGGUAUUAAUGAUGUCAUAGGUUCAGAUAGACACUGAGACAAGUGUGAACAGAAUACAUGAGAUUACACUGAAGUUCAAUUAACUGCUAGUCAAAAACUAAAAACUAAAACAAUGUAUUCUGUAGUAAACACUUGCAGCCCUGUGCUCCCAGUUCACCUUUUCUAGAAGUUGCCCCUUUUCCUUGUCCAGAUGGUUGCAAAAAAGCACUGAAGUCACAACAUGACCUGGUUCCUGGCCACAGUUGAUAGGUCCAGAAAUUGAUAUUCAACUUAAGAAUAAGGAUCUGUUCUGUUUAUUUUAAAAUCAGAACCAAGAAUGGUAAGCUGGCCUGUCUUCGAAAGCCUGGACUCUAAGAAGUAAAGCUCUGGAUUUAUGGGCAGCCAUGUCCCCUAUCACUGGGUCAGCAGAGGAAUCUAGUCUUUGGAGAGAGGAGUGGACGUGAGAGAUGGAGAGACUCCUGUCUAUAUUUGGAUUCCUCCGGUCAGUUGUUCCUGUGGCUCCAUUGCCUUUCUCUUCCUUCAGUAUUACUGUAUUUUAAUAACCUAAUAGAUCCUUAUAUCUUCCCUUUCAACUCAAGCUAAUUAAGUUUCUGUUUUUUGCAAAGCAAAAUGUUCCAAGUCAUAACACAUGACUGAAGCUCCAGAUAUAGUGCCCUGAAUAAGGGUGGAGUAAUCAUAAUACUGAAUCUCCAGGUGGCCAUGUCUAAACUUUGCCUUGGCCACACAAAUGUGGUCAGCGUGGUCAUUUCCAGGCUCAACUUUCUGAAGAUGAUGGUCAAGAAACAAGUCUCUGAGGAAGAGCAGGUAGCUGUUUAGAAAUGUUUAAAGGGUUGCCAUGUAUAUGUCAAAGUAGAUGUUCUAUGUUGCUCCAACGGACAAAACUGAUACCAAUAGUCAAAAGUUGGAAUGCAGAUUUUGACUGAAUAUGAAAAUUGUGUUUGUAAGUAUUAGAAUUAUCAAAUAAAGGAAUGGAUGACCUA
This is a non-coding RNA of Chlorocebus sabaeus (green monkey), 1537 nucleotides long. NCBI's taxonomy places the organism in Eukaryota, Metazoa, Chordata, Mammalia, Primates, Cercopithecidae. The record is from RefSeq and is a predicted model, not a curated record.